CCGGCCACCACAUGAAGUGAAGAAGAACAAAGAAAGAACAAAAACCUAGAUGGGAAAAUUGAAGAAAAAGUGUGGGAUUUCAAGGAAUCAAGCAAUCAAAGGUAAAAUUUCUUGAUUUUGACUUGUGAUCUACCUUUUCCAUGCUUUUCUCCUUAUUUUCCAUGGUUAGAUUUCAUGUUUUCAUGAUGAAUUCAUGGCUGUCCAAAUGGGUAUGGAGAGAGAAUGAAGUUAGAUUAAUUUGAUUUUAAGUUAUGUUAAUGUUUUAAGUUAAUUUAGCAUAUUUAGAAACAAAGCAACAAGAAAAGAAUUCAUUUUUCUCCAUUGCCAUUAUUGGCCGAAUUUUCUAGGGGAAUAUUGACUGCUGAUCUUGAUGUUUAUUUGAGGAAUUAUGAUGAAUAAUGAUGAAUUCUGAGCCUAAAAAAAUAAUGAGAAUUUUCGGAGCAAAAAUAUGAAUUUUUACCCACUAGGGGUAUUUUCAUAAUUUGCUACCGGGACUGAUAAUUUGCACCACACUGAGGGACAUUAAGUCAAUUUGGGUGCAAUUGAGGUAUGGAAACUGAAAAAAAAAAUUAAUUUGGAGUUUAAACGGACGCGUAUAUCAAUUUAUCGGGUAAAAGAUCGAAAUAGGCUAACAUCGCGUUUAGGCAAAAUUUAGAUAUUUUACACUUCAUAUCAUGCAUAUACAUCGAGCCUAAAUUGAUUUUAUAAUGGUCAAGCAUUAAUGUCGUGAAUUAUGUAUUGUACAUUGUGGAUAGGUGGUGAGCAAAUUACACUGAUAAAAGUACAGAGAUUGUGCUUGAAGACUAGGGUUAGGAGUAUAUCGACUCCUAGAACAGUGAGUGAACUUAUUAUCGUCUUAAUUAUCUAGAGUAGUUUUAUACAAUUGUGUGAUUUUAUGAAAAAUGGGUUUAAAUGGUAAAUUGCUAUGUUUUAGGAGAAAUUGUGAUUUUAUAAAAUGAUUUUAUAAAUUUUCUAGAAAAUUGAAUACUGAUUUUGAAAAUAGAGUAAUUGGAGACUGCUUGCUUGUGUUGUAAAUUUAUGGUUUUAAAUUAAAUGGCUUGUGAUAAAUUGGCAUGAUUGGUUGAAUUUAUACUUGUGUUGAAAAAUAUGAACUGUCUGUUUUGCCUUGAUAAAUUGGUUAGUAAUGUAAUUGCCAUGCUAUACCCUUGAGAUUUGAUCAAUUGGUGAAUUAAAGAUUAGCUACUGCAAUGGUGGGGGUUUCAUGGACCAGCCUAUUAGAGGGGCACGGUAAACUCCUUUAUAUUCUCACCUCGAUCAUAGAGACGCGUAGGGUAUCUUCUGAGGUGGGCUUUUUGAGUGCACUUCACGUUAACCACCACGUGAUAGUGAGACUCAGCCAACGCCAAGGAACGGCUGUGAUAUUCAACGAAAAAUGUGUUUUAUGCAAAAUGUGAAUUUUAACAGCCUUGGCGGUCUUAGUGGGAUACCUUGACGAAGGUAUCCGCGAGAAUGAUUUUGGCAGGAGCCAAGUUUUGUGAGAUAUAUAAGCCAUGUUGAUUAAUUGAGUAAAUUGAAUAUUCAUGUUAUGAAACAUAUAUUGGAAAAGAAUAUUUUAAUUCGUUUCCAUUUAUUCGCCUUUAGAUAGUUUAAAUGGUGUCUGUUUACUCACUGGGAUUUUAUAAUCUCACCACCCUCAAUUCCCCACAUUUCAGGCUCGGGAUAGCCGGUAGAUAACCGAUUGCAUCAAGGACUUCAGUUAGCCUUGCAUCGACAAAAUUGUAGGUUCACAGACUCGCAUCUUAUUGGUUAGUUAAGGGAGCCCACGUGUCAUUGUAAAAGUAAUUUUAUACUUUAGUUAUUUGAUUUAAAGUAUGUAUGAACAUAUUUAGCUUUUACACCAUGUUUUUGGCGGGUUUUCGGUAUUUUCGAAGAAAAAUGACGAAAAUGCCCCUAUGAGCUAGAAAAUAAUUUUUGAUUGUUUUGAUUUGGAAACGACUUAUGAUUUCUUGAAAUACGAGAUUUAAUAACUGUCGUUCAUCGGAGAGAUGCG
This 2011-nucleotide long non-coding RNA is filed under the name Theobroma cacao (cacao). RNAcentral describes it as "long non-coding RNA (TCAC_LNC005916)". Lineage: Eukaryota; Viridiplantae; Streptophyta; Magnoliopsida; Malvales; Malvaceae. The record is from RNAcentral.